GCGGGCGUGGUGGAAUGGUAGACACAGGGAGCUUAAACCUCCCGGCGCCCCUGGCGCAUGUCGGUUCGAUGCCGGCCGCCCGUACCA
Molecule: transfer RNA, 87 nt
Filed under: compost metagenome
Description: tRNA-Leu
Source: RNAcentral